RNAcentral lists this ribosomal RNA (496 nucleotides) under uncultured bacterium. RNAcentral describes it as "bacterial SSU rRNA". It matches the Rfam family "Bacterial small subunit ribosomal RNA", at positions 29 to 520 of the family's 1533-position model. The record is from RNAcentral.
AACGAACGCUGGCGGCGCGCCUAACACAUGCAAGUCGAACGAGAAUCCGGGGCAACCCGGUAGUAAAGUGGCAAACGGGUGAGGAAUACAUGGGUAACCUACCCUUGAGAAGGGAAUAACCCGCCGAAAGGUGAGCUAAUACCCUAUACGCUAUCUUUUUUUCGAAAAGGAUAGGAAAGCCGGGUCGAGGACCUGGUACUCAAGGAGGGGCUCAUGUCCUAUCAGCUUGUUGGUGGGGUAACGGCCUACCAAGGCUACGACGGGUAGCUGGUCUGAGAGGAUGAUCAGCCACACUGGCACUGAGAUACGGGCCAGACUCCUACGGGAGGCAGCAGUGAGGAAUAUUGCGCAAUGGGCGAAAGCCUGACGCAGCGACGCCGCGUGGGGGAUGAAGGUUUUCGGAUUGUAAACCCUUUCAUGAGGAAAGAUAAAGUGGGUAACCACUUAGACGGUACUCAAGAAGAAGCCACGGCUAACUUCGUGCCAGCAGCCGCGG